This 440-nucleotide ribosomal RNA is filed under the name uncultured bacterium. RNAcentral's name for it is "partial 16S ribosomal RNA". It matches the Rfam family "Bacterial small subunit ribosomal RNA", at positions 338 to 795 of the family's 1533-position model. The record is from RNAcentral.
CCUACGGGAGGCUGCAGUGGGGAAUAUUGCACAAUGGGGGAAACCCUGAUGCAGCGACGCCGCGUGAGUGAAGAAGUAUUUCGGUACGUAAAGCUCUAUCAGCAGGGAAGAAAAUGACGGUACCUGACUAAGAAGCCCCGGCUAACUACGUGCCAACAGCCGCGGUAAUACGUAGGGGGCAAGCGUUAUCCGGAUUUACUGGGUGUAAAGGGAGCGUAGACGGCAGCGCAAGUCUGGAGUGAAAUCCCAUGGCUUAACCAUGGAACUGCUUUGGAAACUGUGCAGCUAGAGUGCAGGAGAGGUAAGCGGAAUUCCUAGUGUAGCGGUGAAAUGCGUAGAUAUUAGGAGGAACACCAGUGGCGAAGGCGGCUUACUGGACUGUAACUGACGUUGAGGCUCGAAAGCGUGGGGAGCAAACAGGAUUAGAUACCCCAGUAGUC